This 66-nucleotide transfer RNA is filed under the name Goniurosaurus liboensis. RNAcentral describes it as "tRNA-Ser". The record is from RNAcentral. Lineage: Eukaryota; Metazoa; Chordata; Lepidosauria; Squamata; Eublepharidae.
AAGAGGUACAGAACAGACUAGAACUGCUAAUUCUAAUACCCGAGGUUUAACUCCCCGGACCUCUUA